Molecule: ribosomal RNA, 253 nt
Filed under: uncultured bacterium
Lineage: Bacteria
Description: partial 16S ribosomal RNA
Rfam family: Bacterial small subunit ribosomal RNA
Source: RNAcentral
UACGAAGGGUGCAAACGUUGCUCGGAAUCAUUGGGCGUAAAGCGCACGUAGGCGGCUUCGCAAGUCGGAUGUGAAAUCCCUCGGCUCAACCGAGGACGUGCAUCCGAAACUGCGGAGCUUGAGUACUGAAGAGGAUCGCGGAAUUCCCGGUGUAGAGGUGAAAUUCGUAGAUAUCGGGAGGAACACCAGUGGCGAAGGCGGCGAUCUGGGCAGAUACUGACGCUGAGGUGCGAAAGCGUGGGGAGCAAACAGG